RNAcentral lists this long non-coding RNA (432 nucleotides) under Olea europaea subsp. europaea. The record is from RNAcentral. Lineage: Eukaryota; Viridiplantae; Streptophyta; Magnoliopsida; Lamiales; Oleaceae.
AUUUGAAAUAGGGUUAGGCCCACUAGGAGCCUCAUGAGCAGCAGCAUUGAACACUCGAGGCUUGUGGGAUGAAGAUGAAGCUGGCGAAGGGUUAAUCCUAAAAUGCCUAUCCUUUCGGCCUAUCAGAAAUCUGCCAGUAAUUCUGCCUCUAUGAUCUCCUAAGCUGUGUUCCCGUUGCUCGGCCGUCGCUAGAAGAAGGAAGAGCAAGAGAGUGAAGGAGACAAUAUGUGGAGAAAUGGAGGUGGUGGUGCUCAUUAUGCAAUUCGUAAUCCCAUCCCUUUCCAUACAAAAAUCAUCUAUAAAAUGGAGGGCCUGGAAAUUGAAGGACCUCGAGAAGAAUAGAAAAGCACGGUUGUAUAAGCUUACUUGGUAUGUUUACACACUCGAACGAUGAUGAGGAGGGGAGAAAUGAAACUUGCUGAGAGUGAGCAG